UACAUGGGGGGCAACCGUUGCUCGGAAUUGUUGGGCGUAAAGCGCGCGUAGGCGGUUACUUAAGUCGGAUGUGAAAGCCCUCGGCUUAACUGAGGAAGUGCAUCCGAAACUGAGUAGCUAGAGUACGAAAGAGGGUCGCGGAAUUCCCGGUGUAGAGGUGAAAUUCGUAGAUAUCGGGAGGAACACCGGUGGCGAAGGCGGCGACCUGGGUCGAGACUGACGCUGAUGCGCGAAAGCGUGGGGAGCAAACAGG
RNAcentral lists this ribosomal RNA (253 nucleotides) under uncultured bacterium. RNAcentral's name for it is "partial 16S ribosomal RNA". It matches the Rfam family "Bacterial small subunit ribosomal RNA", at positions 524 to 776 of the family's 1533-position model. The record is from RNAcentral.